GCUUGCUCUUUUGGUGGCGAGUGGCGAACGGGUGAGUAAUGCAUCGGAACGUACCGAGUAAUGGGGGAUAACUAUCCGAAAGGAUAGCUAAUACCGCAUACGCUUUGAGAAGGAAAGUGGGGGCUCUUCGGACCUCACGUUAUUCGAGCGGCCGAUGUCUGAUUAGCUAGUUGGUGGGGUAAAGGCCUACCAAGGCGACGAUCAGUAGCGGGUCUGAGAGGAUGAUCCGCCACACUGGGACUGAGACACGGCCCAGACUCCUACGGGAGGCAGCAGUGGGGAAUUUUGGACAAUGGGCGCAAGCCUGAUCCAGCCAUGCCGCGUGUCUGAAGAAGGCCUUCGGGUUGUAAAGGACUUUUGUUAGGGAAGAAAAGGAUAGUGUUAAUACCAUUAUCUGCUGACGGUACCUAAAGAAUAAGCACCGGCUAACUACGUGCCAGCAGCCGCGGUAAUACGUAGGGUGCGAGCGUUAAUCGGAAUUACUGGGCGUAAAGCGAGCGCAGACGGUUUAUUAAGCAAGAUGUGAAAUCCCCGAGCUUAACUUGGGAACUGCGUUUUGAACUGGUAAGCUAGAGUAUGUCAGAGGGGGGUAGAAUUCCACGUGUAGCAGUGAAAUGCGUAGAGAUGUGGAGGAAUACCGAUGGCGAAGGCAGCCCCCUGGGAUAAUACUGACGUUCAUGCUCGAAAGCGUGGGUAGCGAACAGGAUUAGAUACCCUGGUAGUCCACGCCCUAAACGAUGUCAAUUAGCUGUUGGGGCACUUGAUGCCUUAGUAGCGAAGCU
RNAcentral lists this ribosomal RNA (782 nucleotides) under uncultured Kingella sp. Its description in RNAcentral is "bacterial SSU rRNA". It matches the Rfam family "Bacterial small subunit ribosomal RNA", at positions 78 to 853 of the family's 1533-position model. The record is from RNAcentral. Lineage: Bacteria; Pseudomonadati; Pseudomonadota; Betaproteobacteria; Neisseriales; Neisseriaceae.